UUGUGCAGUGGUAUUUGGCAUUGGCUAUCUCCACCUGAGGUUUGGCAGGCCGGUGGUGUGAUCAGGGCUGGAGGUAAUAGCGUCACUGGAACUGUGCAACUGGAAAAAAAAAAAAAACAAACAGCAAAAACCAACAGCCCCCUCUGAGAAGCCUAAGAUCCCUAAGAGGAAUUCUGCAAGACGAUUUCAGGAAUGGGUGAAAUUAGAUUAGCACCACUUCACGUCAGAUGAAGCAUUUAUUUUGGUAAAGUUGUAUCAGUUCCUUCUAAUACAGGAUUAUGGUUCAUGGCUUGAAAGGCUCAAGGAGAAAGCUCAAGCCCAUUACCAACAGUGGUGAGGGAGGUAAAAUGCAAAGCGUCUGAUCCCAGAGAUCUUAUAAUCUUUAAUGAGACCCACAGGGAUGUGAAGCAACAGAUGGAACAAGUGCCUGAUAACAGAGAAGACACGAAGAGCAGGAGAAGCAGAAAAAUUGAAAGUCAUAGUAAUCUACAGGAAUGUGAAGGUCAAUGUCUAAUGACAUCUUUCGAAAAGACAUUUAAAACUGCCAAAUACAAAAUGAGUGAAAGUUAAAAAAAAAAAAAGGGCAGAAAAACACUCACUGUAUUGAAAAUCGGCCUGCCAGCUGCACUGCCCGCAUAUUUCAUGGCUGCUGAAUGCCACCAGAAAGCUCUCAGCCAUGACUAACAGUGCAGUAGUAAGAACAAGAUUAAUUGCACAAUUUAUUUUUAGAUUUCUUUCUUUUUUUUUUUUUUUUUUUUUUUUUAUUUGCUAAGUAUUCAAAUAUGUAAAGUUGAAGUGACACAUUUCCUGCAAAACUGUUUCAUUUACUUUCUAUUCACAUGCUCAGAAUGGUCUCAGGGAAAAGUACAACUUUUUACCCUUCAGGGAGGUCAAGAACAUACCAAAAAAAUUAUUAAAGAAAAUGAAGUAAAUGUUGAGAAGAGACAGAGACCUACAGGCUAUGUCCCAGGGAAACAAAAAGAAGCGGGAGAUAGUGAGAAUUGAAAGUGUCCUGCAAAGAAGGAAAAUGAACAUGAAGCAGUCAGGUGAGUCACUAGGAAUCACCUUUUGGGCAGAAAGAAGGAAUGAAGUCAGUUCUGAUCUCAACAGACAGACUGAGACAGAAAACAGUGAUCUCUUCCCUCUUGGCAUUCUGUAUCUGAAAUCCUGGCAACAGGACCCACCACUAUGUACUGGCAGAGAAUUCUGCCUAUAGAAAACUCCAGAGGGAAAAAUAGUUAAAC
This 1244-nucleotide long non-coding RNA is filed under the name Anas platyrhynchos platyrhynchos (common mallard). Its description in RNAcentral is "lncRNA (ENSAPLG00000026062.1)". Lineage: Eukaryota; Metazoa; Chordata; Aves; Anseriformes; Anatidae. The record is from RNAcentral.